RNAcentral lists this ribosomal RNA (898 nucleotides) under uncultured bacterium. RNAcentral describes it as "bacterial SSU rRNA". It matches the Rfam family "Bacterial small subunit ribosomal RNA", at positions 59 to 947 of the family's 1533-position model. The record is from RNAcentral.
AAGUCGAGGGGCAGCGGGGAGGUAGCAAUACCUUUGCCGGCGACCGGCGCACGGGUGAGUAACACGUAUGCAAUCCACCUGUAACAGGGGGAUAACCCGGAGAAAUCCGGACUAAUACCCCAUGAUAUGGGCUCUCCGCAUGGAGGGUCCAUUAAAGAGAGCAAUCUUGGUUACAGACGAGCAUGCGCUCCAUUAGCCAGUUGGCGGGGUAACGGCCCACCAAGGCGACGAUGGAUAGGGGUUCUGAGAGGAAGGUCCCCCACAUUGGAACUGAGACACGGCCCAAACUCCUACGGGAGGCAGCAGUGAGGAAUAUUGGUCAAUGGUCGGCAGACUGAACCAGCCAAGUCGCGUGAGGGAAGACGGCCCUACGGGUUGUAAACCUCUUUUGUCGGAGAGUAAAGUGCGCUACGCGUAGCGUAUUGCAAGUAUCCGAAGAAAAAGCAUCGGCUAACUCCGUGCCAGCAGCCGCGGUAAUACGGAGGAUGCGAGCGUUAUCCGGAUUUAUUGGGUUUAAAGGGUGCGUAGGCGGCACGCCAAGUCAGCGGUGAAAUUUUCGGGCUCAACCCGGACUGUGCCGUUGAAACUGGCGAGCUAGAGUGCACAAGAGGCAGGCGGAAUGCGUGGUGUAGCGGUGAAAUGCAUAGAUAUCACGCAGAACCCCGAUUGCGAAGGCAGCCUGCUAGGGUGCGACAGACGCUGAGGCACGAAAGCGUGGGUAUCGAACAGGAUUAGAUACCCUGGUAGUCCACGCAGUAAACGAUGAAUACUAACUGUUUGCGAUACAAUGUAAGCGGUACAGCGAAAGCGUUAAGUAUUCCACCUGGGGAGUACGCCGGCAACGGUGAAACUCAAAGGAAUUGACGGGGGCCCGCACAAGCGGAGGAACAUGUGGUUU